Molecule: ribosomal RNA, 834 nt
Filed under: uncultured cyanobacterium
Lineage: Bacteria; Bacillati; Cyanobacteriota
Description: bacterial SSU rRNA
Rfam family: Bacterial small subunit ribosomal RNA
Source: RNAcentral
UGCUUAACACAUGCAAGUCGAACGAGGUCUUCGGAACCUAGUGGCGGACGGGUGAGUAACACGUGAGAAUCUGGCUUCAGGACGGGGACAACAAGGGGAAACCCUUGCUAAUACCGGAUAGGCCGAAAGGUGAAAGAUUUAUCGCCUGAAGAUGAGUUCGCGGAACUGGUAUAGGCUAGUGGUGCCGUAAAGAGGCACAAGUCAACGAUCAGUUAGGCUGUUCUGAGAGGAUGUAUUCAGUCCACACUGGACUGAGGACACGGGCCCAGACUCUUACGGAAGCAGCAGUGGGGAUUUUCGCAAUGGGCGGCAGCCUGACGAGCAAUACGCGUGCGGGAGGAAAGGCCUUUGGGUCGUAAACCGCUUUGUUAGGGAAGAAAUUUGACGGUACCUAACGAAUAAAGCCUCGGCUAACUCCGUGCCAGCAGCCGCGGUAAGACGGAGGAGGCAAGCGUUAUCCCGGAAAUUAUUGGGCGUAAAGCGUCCGCAGGUGGCAUUUCAAGUCUGCUGUCAAAAGCCCAGGGCUCAACUCUGGAUCGGCAGUGGAAACUGAGGCGCUAGAGUGCGGUAGGGGCAGAGGGAAUUCCCAGUGUAGCGGUGAAAUGCGUAGAUAUUGGGAAGAACACCAGUAGCGAAGGCGCUCUGCUGGACCGUAACUGACACUCAUGGACGAAAGCUAGGGGAGCGAAAGGGAUUAGAUACCCCUGUAGUCCUAGCCGUAAACGAUGGACACUAGGUGUUGCGCGUAUCGACCCGUGCAGUGCCGUAGCCAACGCGUUAAGUGUCCCGCCUGGGGAGUACGCUCGCAAGAGUGAAACUCAAAGGAAUUGACGG